This 1430-nucleotide ribosomal RNA is filed under the name uncultured archaeon. RNAcentral describes it as "16S ribosomal RNA". It matches the Rfam family "Archaeal small subunit ribosomal RNA". The record is from RNAcentral.
CGACUGCUAUCGGGGUGGCGCUAAGCCAUGGGAGUCGGACAUCCCACCGCCGUGGGGUGUGGCGAACGGCUGAGUAACACGUGGCUAACCUACCCUCGGGACGGGGACAACUCCGGGAAACUGGAGCUUAUCCCCGAUAGGCGGGGAGUCCUGGAACGGUUCUCCGCCCAAAGGGAUGGGAGGGAGUUAUCGCCUUCUAUCCGCCCGAGGAUGGGGCUGCGUCCCAUCAGGUUGUUGGCGGGGUAACGGCCCGCCAAGCCUAUAACGGGUAGGGGCCGUGAGAGCGGGAGCCCCCAGAUGGGCACUAAGACAAGGGCCCAGGCCCUACGGGGCGCACCAGGCGGGAAACCUCCGCAAUGCGGUAACCCGUGACGGGGUCACCCCGAGUGCUCCCCUUAUGGGGAGCUUUUCCCCGCUGUAGGAAGGCGGGGGUAAUAAGUGGGGGGCAAGACUGGUGUCAGCCGCCGCGGUAAUACCAGCCCCACGAGUGGUCGGGACGGUUAUUGGGCCUAAAGCGCCCGUAGCCGGCCCAGCAAGUUCCUGCCUAAAUCACCGGGCUCAACCCGGUGACUGGUGGGAAUACUGCUGGGCUAGGAGGCGGGAGAGGCCGGGGGUACUCCUAGGGUAGGGGCGAAAUCCUAUAAUCCUAGGAGGACCACCAGUGGCGAAGGCGCCCGGCUGGAACGCGCUCGACGGUGAGGGGCGAAAGCUGGGGGAGCAAACCGGAUUAGAUACCCGGGUAGUCCCAGCUGUAAACGAUGCGGACUAGGUGUUGGACGGACCUAGGGUCCGUCCAGUGCCGCAGGGAAGCCGUUAAGUCCGCCGCCUGGGGAGUACGGCCGCAAGGCUGAAACUUAAAGGAAUUGGCGGGGGAGCACCACAAGGGGUGGAGCCUGCGGCUUAAUUGGAGUCAACGCCGGGAACUUUACCGGGGGCGACAGCAGGAUGACGGCCAGGCUAAUGACCUUGCCCGACGCGCUGAGAGGAGGUGCACGGCCGUCGCCAGCUCGUGCCGUGAGGUGUCUGGUUAAGUCCAGCAACGAGCGAGACCCCCGCCCCUAAUUGCUACCCGCUCCUUCGGGAGCGGGGCACAUUAGGGGGACUGCCGGCGUCUAAGCCGGAGGAAGGUGGGGGCCACGGCAGGUCAGCAUGCCCCGAAACCCCCGGGCUGCACGCGGGCUACAAUGGCUGGGACAGCGGGAACCGACCUCGAAAGAGGGAGGUAAUCCCUCAAACCCAGCCGCAGUUGGGAUCGAGGACUGAAACCCGUCCUCGUGAACGAGGAAUCCCUAGUAACCGCGCGUCAUCAUCGCGCGGUGAAUACGUCCCUGCUCCUUGCACACACCGCCCGUCGCUCCACCCGAGUGGGGAGAGGGUGAGGCCCUGCUCCGAAUGGGGUAGGGUCGAACCCUCUCCCUGCGAGGGGGGAG